GCGAAUGGCUCAUUAAAUCAGUUAUCGUUUAUUUGAUAGUACCUUACUACUUGGAUAACCGUGGUAAUUCUAGAGCUAAUACAUGCUGAAAACCCCAACUCCGGGAGGGGUGUAUUUAUUAGAUAAAAAACCAACGCCCUCCGGGGCUUCUUGGUGAUUCAUGAUAACUUAACGGAUCGCAUGGCCUUGCGCCGGCGACGGUUCAUUCAAAUUUCUGCCCUAUCAACUUUCGAUGGUAAGGUAUUGGCUUACCAUGGUUUCAACGGGUAACGGGGAAUUAGGGUUCGAUUCCGGAGAGGGAGCCUGAGAAACGGCUACCACAUCCAAGGAAGGCAGCAGGCGCGCAAAUUAUCCAAUCCCGACACGGGGAGAUAGUGACAAUAAAUACUGAUACAGGGCUCUUUUGGGUCUUGUAAUUGGAAUGAGUACAAUUUAAACCUCUUAACGAGGAACAAUUGGAGGGCAAGUCUGGUGCCAGCAGCCGCGGUAAUUCCAGCUCCAAUAGCGUAUAUUAAAGUUGUUGCAGUUAAAAAGCUCGUAGUUGAACCUUGGGUCUGGCUGGCAGGUCCGCCUCACCGCGUGUACUUGUCCGGCCGGGCCUUCCUUCUGGAGAACCUCAUGCCCUUCACUGGGCGUGUUGGGGACCAGGACUUUUACUUUGAAAAAAUUAGAGUGUUCAAAGCAGGCCUUUGCUCGAAUACGUUAGCAUGGAAUAAUAAAAUAGGACGUGCGGUCCUAUUUUGUUGGUUUCUAGGACCGCCGUAAUGAUUAAUAGGGACAGUCGGGGGCAUCAGUAUUCAAUUGUCAGAGGUGAAAUUCUUGGAUUUAUUGAAGACUAACUACUGCGAAAGCAUUUGCCAAGGAUGUUUUCAUUAAUCAGUGAACGAAAGUUAGGGGAUCGAAGACGAUCAGAUACCGUCGUAGUCUUAACCGUAAACUAUGCCGACUAGGGAUCGGGCGAUGUUCUUUUUCUGACUCGCUC
This 982-nucleotide ribosomal RNA is filed under the name Pseudoophiosphaerella huishuiensis. RNAcentral describes it as "SSU rRNA". It matches the Rfam family "Eukaryotic small subunit ribosomal RNA", at positions 89 to 1081 of the family's 1831-position model. Lineage: Eukaryota; Fungi; Ascomycota; Dothideomycetes; Pleosporales; Phaeosphaeriaceae. The record is from RNAcentral.